RNAcentral lists this ribosomal RNA (468 nucleotides) under uncultured bacterium. RNAcentral describes it as "partial 16S ribosomal RNA". It matches the Rfam family "Bacterial small subunit ribosomal RNA", at positions 28 to 507 of the family's 1533-position model. The record is from RNAcentral.
GACGAACGCUGGCGGCGUGCUUAACACAUGCCAGUCGAACGGAAAGGCCCUGCUUUUGUGGGGUGCUCGAGUGGCGAACGGGUGAGUAACACGUGAGUAACCUGCCCUUGACUUUGGGAUAACUUCAGGAAACUGGGGCUAAUACCGGAUAGGAGCUCCUGCUGCAUGGUGGGGGUUGGAAAGUUUCGGCGGUUGGGGAUGGACUCGCGGCUUAUCAGCUUGUUGGUGGGGUAGUGGCUUACCAAGGCUUUGACGGGUAGCCGGCCUGAGAGGGUGACCGGCCACAUUGGGACUGAGAUACGGCCCAGACUCCUACGGGAGGCAGCAGUGGGGAAUAUUGCACAAUGGGCGGAAGCCUGAUGCAGCAACGCCGCGUGCGGGAUGGCGGCCUUCGGGUUGUAAACCGCUUUCGCCUGUGACGAAGCGUGAGUGACGGUAAUGGGUAAAGAAGCACCGGCUAACUACGUG